RNAcentral lists this long non-coding RNA (505 nucleotides) under Calidris pygmaea (Spoon-billed sandpiper). Its description in RNAcentral is "lncRNA (ENSCPGG00000008672.1)". The record is from RNAcentral. Lineage: Eukaryota; Metazoa; Chordata; Aves; Charadriiformes; Scolopacidae.
CCUCUUUGGGGGCUGUCAGCAGGGCUCCCCAAUAAGCAUCUCGACAACAGUCUUCCUGUAUGAUUCUUGACCUAAUAUGUGAUCAGCUGUCUGUUUCUUUCCACAGCAAAGCGUUUGGAAAAUGACACAGCCUGAAGAAAAACGGGAAUUCAAAAUCUGGCUCCAGAUUUCCUUGUGAACCAGUCUGCUCCUCCGCAUCUCUAGAAAGGGACAGACCUUGGGGAGAAGAGUCCAGUGGAACUGAACAACUGAUGUGGGUGACAGCCUGCAUCAGGUAUAGACGAGGACGUCAGUGUACAGCCUAACAGCAUUUGAACGAUCAGUCCCAGGGAUUUUCUCAUAGGAAAUUAUUCCAGAGUGGCUCCUCCUGAUAGAUUGUCCUGGAUUAAUUUCCUACACAGAUUCUCAGGUAAGAUUGCAAGACAAACUAUACCAAAAGUUGCUAUCUCACCAGGGUUAAUCAGGAAGAUUUAUAUUUAAAUUCAUACUCUACCUUAAUCUAAAU